This 500-nucleotide ribosomal RNA is filed under the name uncultured bacterium. RNAcentral describes it as "bacterial SSU rRNA". It matches the Rfam family "Bacterial small subunit ribosomal RNA", at positions 28 to 507 of the family's 1533-position model. The record is from RNAcentral.
GACGAACGCUGGCGGCGUGCCUAAUACAUGCAAGUCGAGCGGAAUGAUGAAGAAGCUUGCUUCUUCUGAUUUUAGCGGCGGACGGGUGAGUAACACGUGGGCAACCUACCUUGUAGAUUGGGAUAACUCCGGGAAACCGGGGCUAAUACCGAAUAAUCCAUUUUGCUUCAUGGCGAGAUGUUGAAAGACGGUUUCGGCUGUCACUAUAAGAUGGGCCCGCGGCGCAUUAGCUAGUUGGUAGGGUAAUGGCCUACCAGGGCGACGAUGCGUAGCCGACCUGAGAGGGUGAUCGGCCACACUGGGACUGAGACACGGCCCAGACUCCUACGGGAGGCAGCAGUAGGGAAUCUUCCACAAUGGACGAAAGUCUGAUGGAGCAACGCCGCGUGAGUGAAGAAGGUUUUCGGAUCGUAAAACUCUGUUGUAAGGGAAGAACACGUACGAGAGUAACUGCUCGUACCUUGACGGUACCUUAUUAGAAAGCCACGGCUAACUACGUG